GAUGAACGCUGGCGGCGUGCCUAAUACAUGCAAGUCGAGCGAACGGACGAGAAGCUUGCUUUUCUGAUGUUAGCGGCGGACGGGUGAGUAACACGUGGAUAACCUACCUAUAAGACUGGGAUAACUUCGGGAAACCGGAGCUAAUACCGGGUAAUAUUUUGAACGUCAUGGUUCAAAAGUGAAAUACGGUCUUGCUGUCACUGAUAGAUGGAUCCUCGCUGCAUUGGCUAGUUGGUAAGGUAACGGCUUACCAAGGCAACGAUGCAUAGGCGACCUGAGAGGGUGAUCGGGCACAGUGGAACUGUAACACGGUCCAGACACCUACGGGAGGCAGAAGUAGGGACUGUUCGGCAAUGGGCGGAAGCCUGACGGAGCAACGCCGCGUGGGUGCUGAAGGUCUUCGGAUCGUAAAACUCUGUUAUUAGGGAAAAACAUAUGCGUAAGUAACUGUGCACAUUUUGACGGUACCUAAAUAGAAAGCCACGGCUAACUACGUG
This 497-nucleotide ribosomal RNA is filed under the name uncultured bacterium. RNAcentral's name for it is "partial 16S ribosomal RNA". It matches the Rfam family "Bacterial small subunit ribosomal RNA", at positions 28 to 507 of the family's 1533-position model. The record is from RNAcentral.